This is a long non-coding RNA of Alligator mississippiensis (American alligator), 1133 nucleotides long. RefSeq lists it as uncharacterized. NCBI's taxonomy places the organism in Eukaryota, Metazoa, Chordata, Crocodylia, Alligatoridae. The record is from RefSeq and is a predicted model, not a curated record. The transcript is spliced from 3 exons.
GGGAAACGGGGGCAGUGUUAUGGUUCCACUAUAUUUCACCCUACCCUAGUGACCAGUUUUACCACAUAAAAUGAGAAAAUGAAGGAUGAAAAUUACCUAACUUUGAUCCGCCCUUGAAAUCAUGCUGCAAUAAAAUAAGAGGAAACUGGGUGUUCUGCCCUGAACAGCUUUGAAAGUAAGAGUGGAAGGUGACAACAUAAACUAUUACAAUAACCCUCUUAGGAACUGUCUUGUUACAAAUAGAUUCUGUUAUUGAAGAGAUGUCUGUGACAAUAUAGCAACAAUCAGUCAACUAAAGACUUUCAGAGCAGCUGAAUGGAACCUUACCCCUGUGGCAUCAGCUGUCAGAUUCAGCACAGAUCAGGUGAAAAAUCUUCACUCCUCAACUCUCCAGCCCUUCAGAAAAGCUGUAGCUAAAGGGCUUAAAAGAACUAAGGAAAAAAUGAAGACACAGUUCAUCAUGGAGAGAAAGUUGUCCUUCCAUCUGGCUGAGUACACCAGGACUUCAGUGCGUGCUGGUGAACAGAAGUUGUAAACAACUAUCAAGGGACUGGAUUUAUUAUAUUUACCUGAAUAGAAGAUGAGUUGUUGUUCUUUUCCUUUUCCUCCCCACUCCCCCCGCCUCAUCAGCAUGGGGGGGAGGGCUUCUCAUCUUACAUUUGCAUAUUCAAACACCUCAUUAAAUAUAUUGUCUAUCAUUAAACUACUGCCAAAAGCAGUGCAUGCUCAGUAAUAGAAACCAACUAUGCAACUGAUUAAAUGCAGCAAAUGUUGAGCAUGACUAUAAAACACACGACCCAUAUUGGGCAAACAUACUUAUGGGAAGGGUGCCCUCUCCUGCUUUUUAAGGGUCAUACAAAAAAAAAAUAAAUAAAAGGAAGUUGUUCCCCUCAGGAGGGAAUGAGUACCAGGCCUGGAGGUACUGUAGUAUCAGGCCAGCACUUGGACAGGCUAGACCAAGCUCCAACAGCCUCUCCUAGUAACAAAAAAUGGUGAUGGGAGCUUACUACAAGGAUAAAUUGGUGCAAUGUAUAUGAAUAAAAAAUAUGCGAGGGCCUAUUGAGUGCAGUCCCCCUCAGCAAAAACUCUUUUUCAAGUCAUGAUAAAUCACUAAAUUACAUACGGUUUUAUAU